Nothobranchius furzeri (turquoise killifish) is the source of this 1048-nucleotide non-coding RNA. The record is from the annotation of a RefSeq genome assembly. Lineage: Eukaryota; Metazoa; Chordata; Actinopteri; Cyprinodontiformes; Nothobranchiidae.
AGACCUUAAGUGGUUGCUUGCUGCGUUGGAAUCAAUGUUGUUUCACCGUCUGAAGUCACAAUGACUCCAGGAAUGAUGACCUUAACACUCUUUCUACUUUAUCCUGCAGGUGUCUGUGGGUCUAUUCUCAUCACUCAGUGGCCUCCAUGCAUCUCAAGUCCUUCUAACAGCCUUGCAGAAAUCCACUGCUACCAGAACCACACAUCUUACCAGUAUCUGUACUGGUACAGGGAGCUGGGAGGAGGAGACAUCCAGCUGAUUGUGUAUUUGAUAGCUGGUAAUCCAAACUAUGAAGAAGGAUUCAAAUCAGGUUUUGAGACUCGGGUGCAGGACCAGCAGUGGACUCUGAUGAUAUUGAGCAUUCAGGAGAAGGAUGAGGCUGUUUAUCUGUGUGCUGCCAGUCCCACACGUACUUUGUCAGAAGCUUACUUUGGAGCUGGAACUAAACUCACCGUUUUAGAACCAGGCCGAUCCCCCACAACACCAACUGUAGAAGUCUUUAAACCUUCAGCUAAAGAGUGCAACGACCCAAACAAGAAAAGGAAGAAGACUCUGGUUUGUGUGGCCUCUGGUUUCUACCCAGAUCAUGUCAGCGUGUCCUGGAUGCUUAAUGGGGUCCAGACAGGUAAAGGUGUGGCGACAGACAGCACAGCCAAGAGGGACGGGGACUCCUACAGAAUCACCAGCAGGCUGAAGGUCCAGGCUAAGGACUGGUUCAGACCUGGGAAUCGUUUCACCUGCACCGUCAGCUUCUUUAAUGGAACCAUCACCACCCCUCAUUCUGCUUCAGUUUCAUCAACUGAAACAGAGAAAGGCAUGACUCGAGAGAAAUAUCUGAGGAUCACUCAGAACGCCAAACUCUCCUAUGUGGUUCUGAUUGUGAAGAGCUGCAUCUACGGAGCCUUUGUUUGCUUUUUGGUCUGGAAGCUUCAGAGUUCAGCUGGAAAACGGAACAAGUGAGAUCUGAGCUGAAGUCUGAACAAACCAACGAGUUUCACGAGGAACAUUUUCUGGUUUCUGUAAAUAAAAUCUGUAGAAAACAGAACAU